This 443-nucleotide ribosomal RNA is filed under the name uncultured bacterium. RNAcentral describes it as "partial 16S ribosomal RNA". It matches the Rfam family "Bacterial small subunit ribosomal RNA", at positions 338 to 795 of the family's 1533-position model. The record is from RNAcentral.
CCUACGGGAGGCAGCAGUGGGGAAUAUUGGACAAUGGGGGGAACCCUGAUCCAGCGACGCCGCGUGAGUGAAGAAGUAUUUCGGUAUGUAAAGCUCUAUCAGCAGGGAAGAAAGAAAUGACGGUACCUGACUAAGAAGCCCCGGCUAACUACGUGCCAGCAGCCGCGAUAAUACGGAGGGGGCAAGCGUUAUCCGGAUUUACUGGGUGUAAAGGGAGCGUAGACGGCGAUGCAAGUCUGAAGUGAAAGGCGGGGGCCCAACCCCCGGACUGCUUUGGAAACUGUAUGGCUGGAGUGCAGGAGAGGUAAGUGGAAUUCGUAGUGUAGCGGUGAAAUGCGUAGAUAUUAGGAGGAACACCAGUGGCGAAGGCGGCUUACUGGACUGUAACUGACGUUGAGGCUCGAAAGCGUGGGGAGCAAACAGGAUUAGAUACCCGGGUAGUC